This 630-nucleotide ribosomal RNA is filed under the name Lactiplantibacillus plantarum. RNAcentral's name for it is "bacterial SSU rRNA". It matches the Rfam family "Bacterial small subunit ribosomal RNA", at positions 49 to 644 of the family's 1533-position model. Lineage: Bacteria; Bacillati; Bacillota; Bacilli; Lactobacillales; Lactobacillaceae. The record is from RNAcentral.
CUAUACAUGCAGUCGAACGAACUCUGGUAUUGAUUGGUGCUUGCAUCAUGAUUUACAUUUGAGUGAGUGGCGAACUGGUGAGUAACACGUGGGAAACCUGCCCAGAAGCGGGGGAUAACACCUGGAAACAGAUGCUAAUACCGCAUAACAACUUGGACCGCAUGGUCCGAGUUUGAAAGAUGGCUUCGGCUAUCACUUUUGGAUGGUCCCGCGGCGUAUUAGCUAGAUGGUGGGGUAACGGCUCACCAUGGCAAUGAUACGUAGCCGACCUGAGAGGGUAAUCGGCCACAUUGGGACUGAGACACGGCCCAAACUCCUACGGGAGGCAGCAGUAGGGAAUCUUCCACAAUGGACGAAAGUCUGAUGGAGCAACGCCGCGUGAGUGAAGAAGGGUUUCGGCUCGUAAAACUCUGUUGUUAAAGAAGAACAUAUCUGAGAGUAACUGUUCAGGUAUUGACGGUAUUUAACCAGAAAGCCACGGCUAACUACGUGCCAGCAGCCGCGGUAAUACGUAGGUGGCAAGCGUUGUCCGGAUUUAUUGGGCGUAAAGCGAGCGCAGGCGGUUUUUUAAGUCUGAUGUGAAAGCCUUCGGCUCAACCGAAGAAGUGCAUCGGAAACUGGGAAAACUUU